GUGCCCUCCGACGGAUCAAGCGAUUUGGCUGAUGAGGGAUCAGAUCAGCCGAGUUCGAAAAACUUUACUGUAGAACGAGUUUGGCUGAAUGAGCUAAAUGGAUGAAAUGAACAGUAGUUUGGGUCGGUUGAAGAGCCGAAUGCUUUUAUAUAUUGAAUUUAAAUUUAGAAAUUUGUACAAAAGAGAGUGUGCCUUCGGGGCAUACACACUCCGAAAAUCUAACUUAGAACUAUUCCUACGAAAAGCAGUAGAUGCGGAAAAGGAAAAUAUUACAAGUAAA
Molecule: long non-coding RNA, 280 nt
Filed under: Ananas comosus (pineapple)
Lineage: Eukaryota; Viridiplantae; Streptophyta; Magnoliopsida; Poales; Bromeliaceae
Description: long non-coding RNA (ACOM_LNC018094)
Source: RNAcentral